GAGUUUGAUCCUGGCUCAGAAUCAACGCUGGCGGCGCGCCUAACACAUGCAAGUCGAACGAGAAAGCGGGAGCAAUCUCGCAAGUACAGUGGCGUACGGGUGAGUAACACGUGGAUGAUCUGCCCUGGAGUGGGGAAUAACGCUGGGAAACCGGCGCUAAUACCGCAUAUUCCCGAGAGGGGAAAGCAGCAAUGCGCUCGAGGAGGAGUCCGCGGCCGAUUAGCUAGUUGGCAGGGUAAAAGCCUAUCAAGGCUAUGAUCGGUAGCCGGCCUGAGAGGGCACACGGCCACACUGGCACUGAAACACGGGCCAGACUCCUACGGGAGGCAGCAGUGGGGAAUCUUGCACAAUGGGGGAAACCCUGAUGCAGCGACGCCGCGUGAGCGAUGAAGCCCUUCGGGGUGUAAAGCUCUUUCGGCAGGGAAGAUUAUGACGGUACCUGCGGAAGCAGCUGCGGCUAACUACGUGCCAGCAGCCGCGGUAAUACGUAGGCAGCAAGCGUUGUUCGGAGUUACUGGGCGUAAAGGGUGUGUAGGCGGCCUGUUAAGUUCCGUGUGAAAUCUCCCGGCUCAACCGGGAGGAUGCGCGGAAUACUGACGGGCUAGAGUGCGGGAUGGGAGAGUAGAAUUCCUGGUGUAGCGGUGAAAUGCGUAGAUAUCAGGAGGAAUACCGGUGGUGUAGACGGCUCUCUGGACCGUAACUGACGCUGAGACACGAAAGCGUGGGUAGCAAACAGGAUUAGAUACCCUGGUAGUCCACGCCCUAAACGAUGCAUAUUUGGUGUAGGUCAUUCAGUUGAUCUGUGCCGGAGCUAACGCGUUAAAUAUGCCGCCUGGGGAGUACAGUCGCAAGGCUGAAACUCAAAGGAAUUGACGGGGGCCCGCACAAGCGGUGGAGCAUGUGGUUCAAUUCGACGCAACGCGAAGAACCUUACCUGGGCUCGAACGGCUGGUCAACGAUCGUGGAAACACGGUUACUCCGCAAGGGGGUCCAGUCGAGGUGCUGCAUGGCUGUCGUCAGCUCGUGUCGUGAGAUGUUGGGUUAAGUCCCGCAACGAGCGCAACCCUCGUCUCCAGUUGCCAUCAGGUUAUGCUGGGCACUUUGGAGAAACUGCCGGUGACAAGCCGGAGGAAGGUGGGGAUGACGUCAAGUCCUCAUGGCCCUUACGGGCUGGGCUACACACGUGCUACAAUGGCGGUGACAAUGGGAUGCGAAGGGGCGACCCGGAGCCGAUCCUAAAAAACCGUCUCAGUUCGGAUUGCACUCUGCAACUCGAGUGCAUGAAGGUGGAAUCGCUAGUAAUCGAGGAUCAGCAUGCCUCGGUGAAUACGUUCCCGGGCAUUGCACACAC
This 1351-nucleotide ribosomal RNA is filed under the name uncultured bacterium. RNAcentral describes it as "bacterial SSU rRNA". It matches the Rfam family "Bacterial small subunit ribosomal RNA". The record is from RNAcentral.